This 1043-nucleotide ribosomal RNA is filed under the name Nectria sp. (in: ascomycete fungi). RNAcentral's name for it is "SSU rRNA". It matches the Rfam family "Eukaryotic small subunit ribosomal RNA", at positions 57 to 1115 of the family's 1831-position model. Lineage: Eukaryota; Fungi; Ascomycota; Sordariomycetes; Hypocreales; Nectriaceae. The record is from RNAcentral.
GUCUAGUAUAGCAAUUAUACCGCGAAACUGCGAAUGGCUCAUUAUAUAAGUUAUCGUUUAUUUGAUAGUACCUUACUACUUGGAUAACCGUGGUAAUUCUAGAGCUAAUACAUGCUAAAAACCCCGACUUCGGAAGGGGUGUAUUUAUUAGAUUAAAAACCAAUGCCCUUCGGGGCUCUCUGGUGAUUCAUGAUAACUUCUCGAAUCGCACGGCCUUGCGCCGGCGAUGGUUCAUUCAAAUUUCUUCCCUAUCAACUUUCGAUGUUUGGGUCUUGGCCAAACAUGGUUGCAACGGGUAACGGAGGGUUAGGGCUCGACCCCGGAGAAGGAGCCUGAGAAACGGCUACUACAUCCAAGGAAGGCAGCAGGCGCGCAAAUUACCCAAUCCCGACUCGGGGAGGUAGUGACAAUAAAUACUGAUGCAGGGCUCUUUUGGGUCUUGCAAUUGGAAUGAGUACAAUUUAAAUCCCUUAACGAGGAACAAUUGGAGGGCAAGUCUGGUGCCAGCAGCCGCGGUAAUUCCAGCUCCAAUAGCGUAUAUUAAAGUUGUUGUGGUUAAAAAGCUCGUAGUUGAACCUUGGGCCUGGCUGGCCGGUCCGCCUCACCGCGUGUACUGGUCCGGCCGGGCCUUUCCCUCUGUGGAACCCCAUGCCCUUCACUGGGCGUGGCGGGGAAACAGGACUUUUACUUUGAAAAAAUUAGAGUGCUCCAGGCAGGCCUAUGCUCGAAUACAUUAGCAUGGAAUAAUAAAAUAGGACGUGUGGUUCUAUUUUGUUGGUUUCUAGGACCGCCGUAAUGAUUAAUAGGGACAGUCGGGGGCAUCAGUAUUCAAUUGUCAGAGGUGAAAUUCUUGGAUUUAUUGAAGACUAACUACUGCGAAAGCAUUUGCCAAGGAUGUUUUCAUUAAUCAGGAACGAAAGUUAGGGGAUCGAAGACGAUCAGAUACCGUCGUAGUCUUAACCAUAAACUAUGCCGACUAGGGAUCGGACGAUGUUAUUUUUUGACUCGUUCGGCACCUUACGAGAAAUCAAAGUGCUGGCUCC